CUCUACUAAGACCAUGAUAUUUUCAAACAUCCCAUGGAUUGAGAGACCAACCGGGUGGAAGUCCAUUAAGAUCGAGAUAAGUCCAUUGAGAUACCAAUCCAUUGGAAAUUGCAUGAUGAUAUAUCCCCGAGUUUUUUUUUUUCUUCUUCUUCUUCUUCUUCUUCUUCUUCUUCUUCUUUGUAAUGUAAUAUAUAAUAUAAUAUAUUAUAUUAUAUACAAGAUUCACCGAUUCCGAUUUUUAGUUACCGAGGCAUAAUCAUAGGAUGGACCUAUCCGAGUUUUUUUUGAUGAACGGGACAUAUCAUUGGUCGUUGCGACAAGAGGCAUUUCGAGAUUUCCACGGGACAUUUCUUGGGUCAGGGUGAAAUGAGGCAUUUCGAGAUUUGAACGUAUGAAAUUCUUGGUCGGGCCUCCCACGGAUAGCACUAGAGUGCAAUCCACUGUCGGUCUCACACGAAUUGCACGCAUGAAAUGCUUAGUUUGGGCACACUUCGAUUGCACUAGAGUGCAUUCCUUGGUUAGGGAUGAAAAAACGAAAAUUCAUUUUUCUCGAAUACCCACUACCCCCUAAUACUCUGCACAACUUUUCUUGGAUGUUCGCAUAAAAUAGAGAAACCGUUUAUUUCCCAUCACUAAAAUAGGCCAAAAUCCGAAAAAAACCAAUCUCAUUGCAAUUCUUUGGUCGGUACACGAACUGCACGCAUGAAAUGCUUGGUCGGGCCUCCCACAAACCGCACAAGAGUGCAUUCCUUGGUCGGGACUCACACGUAUUGCACAAACGGAACGCUCUAGAGUGCAUUCCUUGGUCGGUCUCACACGAAUUGCAAGCGUGAAGUGCUUGGUCGGGCCUCCCACGGAUAGCACUAGAGUGCAUUCCUUGAUCGGGUCUCACACGAAUUGCUCGCGUGAAGUGCUUGGUCGGGCCUCCCACGGAUAGCACUAGAGUGCAUUCCAUAGCACUAGAGUGCAUUCCUUGAUCGGUAUCACACGAAUUGCACGCGUGAUGUGCUUGGUC
RNAcentral lists this long non-coding RNA (1015 nucleotides) under Zostera marina. RNAcentral's name for it is "long non-coding RNA (ZMAR_LNC005812)". The record is from RNAcentral. Lineage: Eukaryota; Viridiplantae; Streptophyta; Magnoliopsida; Alismatales; Zosteraceae.